RNAcentral lists this transfer RNA (74 nucleotides) under Vicinamibacterales bacterium. Its description in RNAcentral is "tRNA-Gln". It matches the Rfam family "tRNA". From Rfam's summary of the family: Transfer RNA (tRNA) molecules are approximately 80 nucleotides in length. Their secondary structure includes four short double-helical elements and three loops (D, anti-codon, and T loops). The record is from RNAcentral. Lineage: Bacteria; Pseudomonadati; Acidobacteriota; Vicinamibacteria; Vicinamibacterales.
UGGGAGAUCGUUCAACGGUAGGACACCUGGCUCUGGACCAGGAUAUUGGGGUUCGAAUCCCUAUCUCCCAGCCA